AGGACGAACGCUGGCGGCGUGCUUAACACAUGCAAGUCGAGCGGAAAGGCCCUUCGGGGUACUCGAGCGGCGAACGGGUGAGUAACACGUGAGUAACCUGCCUCUAGCUCUGGGAUAGCUCCGGGAAACCGGGAUUAAUACCAGAUACGACCACUUUAGACAUCUGUCGUGGUGGAAAGGAUUCCGGCUAGGGAUGGGCUCGCGGCCUAUCAGCUUGUUGGUGGGGUAACGGCCUACCAAGGCGACGACGGGUAGCCGGCCUGAGAGGGCGACCGGCCACACUGGGACUGAGACACGGCCCAGACUCCUACGGGAGGCAGCAGUGGGAAUAUUGCGCAAUGGGCGAAAGCCUGACGCAGCGACGCCGCGUGGGGGAUGAAGGCCUUCGGGUUGUAAACCCUUUCAGCAGGGACGAAGCGAAAGUGACGGUACCUGCAGAAGAAGCGCCGGCUAACUACGCGCCAGCAGCCGC
Molecule: ribosomal RNA, 472 nt
Filed under: uncultured bacterium
Lineage: Bacteria
Description: SSU rRNA
Rfam family: Bacterial small subunit ribosomal RNA
Source: RNAcentral